This 194-nucleotide ribosomal RNA is filed under the name uncultured bacterium. RNAcentral describes it as "partial 16S ribosomal RNA". It matches the Rfam family "Bacterial small subunit ribosomal RNA", at positions 1307 to 1500 of the family's 1533-position model. The record is from RNAcentral.
GCAACUCGACUACAUGAAGCUGGAAUCGCUAGUAAUCGCGAAUCAGAAUGUCGCGGUGAAUACGUUCCCGGGUCUUGUACACACCGCCCGUCACACCAUGGGAGUCAGUAACGCCCGAAGCCGGUGACCCAACCAAACGGAGGGAGCCGUCGAAGGUGGGACCGAUAACUGGGGUGAAGUCGUAACAAGGUAAC